Non-coding RNA from Podarcis lilfordi (Lilford's wall lizard), 74 nucleotides. The record is from the annotation of a GenBank genome assembly. NCBI's taxonomy places the organism in Eukaryota, Metazoa, Chordata, Lepidosauria, Squamata, Lacertidae.
GGUUGUGUGGUGUAGUGGUUAUGGAGUGUCAGACAAGAACCUUGGAGACCAGGGUUCAAAUCCCUGCUCAGCCA